UAGAGAGGCGGGCAGAGAGACAGACAGAUUAGAGAGGCGGGCAGAGAGACAGACAGAUUAGAGAGGCGGGCAGAGAGACAGACAGGUUAGAGAGGCGGGCAGAGAGACAGACAGGUUAGAGAGGCGGGCAGAGAGACAGACAGGUUAGAGAGGCGGGCAGAGAGACAGACAGGUUAGAGAGGCGGGCAGAGAGACAGACAGGUUAGAGAGGCGGGCAGAGAGACAGACAGGUUAGAGAGGCGGGCAGAGAGACAGACAGGUUAGAGAGGCGGGCAGAGAGACAGACAGGUUAGAGAGGCGGGCAGAGAGACAGACAGGUUAGAGAGGCGGGCAGAGAAACAGAUACAGGUUGGUCUGAAUGACUCUCUCAAAACAGCUCUCCUUGCCUGCAGAGAGACAGACAGGUUAGAGAGGUGGGCAGAGAGACAGACAGAUUAGAGAGGCGGGCAGAGAGACAGACAGAUUAGAGAGGCGGGCAGAGAGACAGACAGAUUAGAGAGGCGGGCAGAGAGACAGACAGAUUAGAGAGGUGGGCAGAGAGACAGACAGAUUAGAGAGGCGGGCAGAGAGACAGACAGAUUAGAGAGGCGGGCAGAGAGACAGACAGAUUAGAGAGGCGGGCAGAGAGACAGACAGAUUAGAGAGGUGGGCAGAGAGACAGACAGAUUAGAGAGGCGGGCAGAGAGACAGACAGGUUAGAGAGGCGGGCAGAGAGACAGACAGGUUAGAGAGGCGGGCAGAGAGACAGACAGA
Long non-coding RNA from Oncorhynchus keta (chum salmon), 753 nucleotides. RefSeq lists it as uncharacterized. The record is from RefSeq and is a predicted model, not a curated record. NCBI's taxonomy places the organism in Eukaryota, Metazoa, Chordata, Actinopteri, Salmoniformes, Salmonidae. The transcript is spliced from 3 exons.